UUACUUUCUAUUUCUAACUGAAUAAUUUAUUAUCUUUUAUUAAUUAUAUUUCUCUUAAAAAAAAAAGGUGAAUUUUAUAUAUCAUUCACCUGAUUUUCGUUUUUUUUCACUUUAGUAUCAUAUGAUUUAAAAUAUAUUAAUUUAAUACUCUAUAAUUUUAUUUUUUUUUUUCGUCAGAUUUUUUUUGUUAAAUCAGUGACAAAGUUAAAAUAUAAAGAUAUUAAAGUGAAUAUUUGAUAAAUCUAGAUGGAGUAUCUCAAGUUUUUUGUAUAUAUAAUUUAAUAAAAUAUUAAAAAAAGAACUGACGAAAAGAAAAAAAUAAAACCACAUGAUACUAAAUUGAUACACCUUAAACCACAUGUUACAAAAAUGAGAAAGUACGGAACUAGAGGGGUGGCUUUUGAAGUUUAUCCAAAAAUAAAUGAUUGAGGUGAUGAGAGGGCUCACUCACCUCACUUUAUGAAUUACUAAUGAAGUUAUCCGAUCAUUGCGGUGGGUUAAUACUAUAAAAGAUAAAAGAUUGACAAAAUUAAAAUUUUAAAUUUUUUAACUUGUCAUGAAACAUCAAUAAAUACAAAUUAAAAAUAUAAAACAGGUAUAUACGAAUGUUAGCCAAACUUACAACAGCAAAUAAAUUAUACAUAAUAANAAUAAUAAAAGAAGCGCUAAUAGAGUUACUACUCCAUAUGAACCUUAAUUGUGCUGCCGCGAUCAGAGAGA
This 720-nucleotide long non-coding RNA is filed under the name Ananas comosus (pineapple). RNAcentral describes it as "long non-coding RNA (ACOM_LNC041307)". Lineage: Eukaryota; Viridiplantae; Streptophyta; Magnoliopsida; Poales; Bromeliaceae. The record is from RNAcentral.